GGAUGAUCAGCCGCACUGGAACUGAAACACGGUCCAGACUCCUACGGGAGGCAGCAGUGAGGAAUUUUGCGCAAUGGGGGAAACCCUAACGCAGCAACGCCGCGUGAGUGAAGAAGGCCUUCGGGUCGUAAAGCUCUGUCAAGUGGGAAAAAAGCCUUUUGAUGAAUAGUCAAUUGGUCUGAUGGUACUACUAGAGGAAGCACCGGCUAACUCCGUGCCAGCAGCCGCGGUAAUACGGAGGGUGCAAGCGUUGUUCGGAAUUACUGGGCGUAAAGAGCGUGUAGGCGGUAUGGUAAGUCAGAUGUGAAAGCCCUGGGCUUAACCCAGGAAGUGCAUUUGAUACUGCCAUUCUUGAGUAUGGGAGAGGAGAGUGGAAUUCCCAGUGUAGAGGUGAAAUUCGUAGAUAUUGGGAGGAACACCCGUGGCGAAGGCGACUCUCUGGACCAAUACUGACGCUGAGACGCGAAAGCGUGGGGAGCAAACAGGAUUAGAUACCCUGGUAGUCCACGCCGUAAACGAUGAGAACUAGGUGUAGCGGGUAUUGACCCCUGCUGUGCCGGAGUUAACGCAUUAAGUUCUCCGCCUGGGGAGUACGGCCGCAAGGCUAAAACUCAAAGGAAUUGACGGGGACCCGCACAAGCGGUGGAGCAUGUGGUUUAAUUCGACGCAACGCGAAGAACCUUACCUGGAUUUGACAUCCUCUGACAGCCCCGGAAACGGGGUCUUCCCUGCUUGCAGGGACAGAGUGACAGGUGCUGCAUGGCUGUCGUCAGCUCGUGUCGUGAGAUGUUGGGUUAAGUCCCGCAACGAGCGCAACCCUUGUUUUUAGUUGCCAGUAUUAAGUUAGGCACUCUAAAGAUACUGCCUCGGUUAACGGGGAGGAAGGUGGGGAUGACGUCAAGUCCUCAUGGCCUUUAUAUCCAGGGCUACACACGUGCUACAAUGGGCUGUACAAAGAGUUGCCACUUCGCGAGGAGGAGCUAAUCUCAAAAAGCAGUUCUCAGUUCGGAUUGGAGUCUGCAACUCGACUCCAUGAAGUUGGAAUCGCUAGUAAUCGUGGAUCAGCAUGCCACGGUGAAUACGUUCCCGGGUCUUGUACACACCGCCCGUCACACCACGAAAGUCGACUGUACCAGAAGUUGCUGGGCUAACCCCUUCCGGGGAUGCAGGUACCUAAGGUACGGCCGGUAAUUGGGGUGAAGUCGAAACAAGGUA
RNAcentral lists this ribosomal RNA (1215 nucleotides) under metagenome. RNAcentral describes it as "bacterial SSU rRNA". It matches the Rfam family "Bacterial small subunit ribosomal RNA", at positions 298 to 1498 of the family's 1533-position model. The record is from RNAcentral.